CCAGCGUUGCAAGGGGCAAAGAAGACUGCUGCUAAAAUAAAGCCUUUGCCUUUAAAGAGCUCUCACCCAUGUUGUACAAGCCACCCCCACCCCUCCCCGCCAUCCAACCUCACUAGUCUUUCUUCAUCUGUAAGUUGUGCACAAUCUCCAACAAUAGCCUCUUUGGUGAGGUAGUAUCUUCAUCUCUGAGGGGGAAAGAUAGGCAGGUGUGUAUUUGAGCCACCCCUCCCCCAGGUGGUAACCACUGAUCAUCAUUUUUUUUUUAAACAUGUGCUGAAGCUAAAGAUAUAGACAGCAUCAGUUGCCUACAGUUACACUGCCAGUAAAUGACAAUGCCUAGCUUUUUCUUUCAGUUCUGCUGUCUUGCACGCUAUCAAACCCUGCAAAUGAACAGAGCACGUUUUUGCUUCCAUUGUGUACCCAAUGUGACCACAGACUAAUUUUUGUUAUCUAAAAACUGGCCUGGACUCCAGAGAAACCUCUGACCUUACUGGAAAUAUGAGGAAGAUACACACUGACACUUGAGUUUCCAUCUCAGUAGUUCUGCAGCCCCCUGAGCUCAGAGAGAAGGGUUGAGGGAGGUAGAGCCUGAGCCAGGAGGAACUCAUUGGUGAAGAGCAAAUCUGGGGACUUUGCCAGCAAAGGGUAGAUGAGGAGUGCUGUCACUUCACCUGUGAUGUAGUGGUUGCUUUUUCUUCCAGAUCAGACUCGGGGAUUUCUCCUUUUUUUCUUUUCCCUACCCUGACUGAUAGCAGGGAUUAAACCCAGGGGUGUUAUGCCACUGAACUGUGUCCCUAGCCUUUUUUAUUUCUAUUUAUUUUUUGCAGUACUGUGGAUUGAAUCCAGGGGUGAUCUGCCACUGAGCUUACAUCCCCAGACCCCACUGCCCCCC
This 892-nucleotide long non-coding RNA is filed under the name Marmota monax (woodchuck). Lineage: Eukaryota; Metazoa; Chordata; Mammalia; Rodentia; Sciuridae. The record is from RNAcentral.